UAGUAUGGGGAUCUGCCCGAUAGAGGGGGAUAACUACUGGAAACGGUGGCUAAUACCGCAUAAUGUCUACGGACCAAAGCAGGGGCUCUUCGGACCUUGCACUAUCGGAUGAACCCAUAUGGGAUUAGCUAGUAGGUGGGGUAAAGGCUCAUCUAGGCGACGAUCUCUAGCUGGUCUGAGAGGAUGAUCAGCCACACUGGGACUGAGACACGGCCCAG
This 218-nucleotide ribosomal RNA is filed under the name uncultured bacterium. RNAcentral's name for it is "partial 16S ribosomal RNA". It matches the Rfam family "Bacterial small subunit ribosomal RNA", at positions 113 to 334 of the family's 1533-position model. The record is from RNAcentral.